AAAAAUGUAAGGCUAAGGCUUUGGUUAUUACCAUAGUUUAGAAAAUUGUGUGUGGUGCUAAUUUUAAUGAACAAACUCCUCCAUCAAAAAUUAUUCAAAACAAAAUCAAGGGCAAGAACGUGAGCAAUUUUGAAACAAAAGUUUUUCUCUUUUUGUGGCUUCAUAAAUUUUUUACUUGCAAAUAUAAAUAGAUACUCCAAAAUUGUCUCUAGCAGGAUGGACAUUUGAGCUCCCUUGAUGAGUUUUUGCAUGCCUUGUGUGGUGAGCGCUAUGCAUUUAUUUCUUGUAUACUUGUAUUAUUUAGAACUUGUCCUGUUAGUCUUUAAAAGCUAAUUUUUAUUGUAUUAGUUGGAGAAAUGAUCUUAGGACAUCUUUGUGAUUUUUGUAGCCACUUUAUGCUAAAAAGCCUACGUAAGUAUGAAUGUAAUCCCUAGUUACCCACUGUUAUCCUUUGGACCUUUCUUUGACAAUUACACUAUAAGUCGUGAACCAUCCUUUUUAUUGAUCUUUUGACCCAUGCCCAUUUUGAACUUUAAAAUUCAUCUUGAUGCUAAAAGCCUAAGUUAGGGUGGUAAAGAUUUAUAGAAGUAAGUUUGGGACCACAAAGUUAUAAGUGAAAUACCUAAUGUGCAUUAGCAUUGUAAGAAAAUAAAUAGUAAAAAAGAGGAUCCAACAAAGGAAUGAAUUGCACGAAAGUGGAAAGAAAAUGAAAUAAAGAAAAUGAGUGAACAAAGGAAGCAAAAAUUAGGCAUGAUCAAAGAGAUAAAACAAAGAAGAGUGGCCCAUAGUCAAAUAGGUGAAUUUAAUAGGGUGACGUGAAUGUUCAAGGAAGGGUGUAGCCAUUUUGUUACCAAAUGAUAUCCAACCCUAACCAGAACCUAUGUUACAAGCUUAGAAAGACCUUUGAGAUCUCCAACCAUUUACUUUCUGUGUAGUGGCGACGAAAAAUAGGGGAAAGCUUAUGGUAUGAUACUUAUUGCGUAGAGAUUUCUUUUGCGAGGGAGAGAUUUUUUACACUUAAAAUUCCUUAUUGCAUAUUUGGUAGUUUGGUGUAUAGAAUUCUCUUUCUUGUGAGGUUGGCAUGUGAACAAGUUGAGGUGGGUGAUUGUGUCACCUCCCGAACAAUAAGGCAAAUGAAGUAUAGCUUAGUUGUAGUAAAAAAAAAACAAUUCUAUAGUAUUAGUUCUUGUUGCUUAGUUGCUCUUUAAUGUCUUAUGGAUCCUUAGAUAUUGCAAUUUUAUAAUAAGGGGUGUAGUGAAACUAGCCUACCACAUAUGCAAUGAGGUACCUGUGAUGAUCACUAAAGUUGAGGUCAUUAUGAUCUUUAAGGCAUAAAGUGUGGGCACAGACGAUUCUGUCUCAUAGUAAGAGGUAGUGGUACUUGAGGAUAAGUAAUAGCUUUAAUUUGAGGGUAUUGAUGAGUGGUGAUUUUACCACUCAUUUCCACUCAAUAUUCAUGCACAUUACAUUGUUUUGAAUGAAUAUACGAGAUAUAAUUAUGAUUAAUUGCACUAAUAUCAACUCUUUGCAAGCAUAGAGUUGAGGGGAUAGAACGAUGUGGAUUGGACCUUAAAAUGAUCAAAAAGGGAGCAAGAUAGUGUAGCUGAACAACUGGAGCAAAAACUGGCCUCAGUUACAAUGGUUGAUGUCUGAUAUCCACGGUCAUGAUAGCCAAAGCCGCGCGAUUGUGGUUUAGCAGAAAAUGGCAUCCCAAGGGCAAAACUUGAAAUGAACAUGGUUGAUCCCAAAUCUUUUGCAAAAAGACUCAAACUCUAAGUCAUUAAUUAUAUUUCAUCUUCCCUUAUUUGUUUUGGUUUAGCUCUUGAGUUCAUAGCCUCCAUAUUUUUAGAAGAAAAUAUUGUAAAAAAUUUUGGUAAAGAAUACAUUGGAGACCUUCUAAGUUGAGGAAUAGCUCACUUCCAUUGAAGAUUUGUGUGGGUCCAAAGUUUGAAGUAACAUUAAGUUAAUCUUCAACAAGUCAUUUCAAUAGAGUUUGUUGGUAUAUCUAUGAUUAUUUAUCUUAUGUGUAGCUAGAUCUCCUUCUUGGGGUUUUGUUAAAUAGGGGUUAAAAAGUACGUGGGUUGUUAUUGUUAGCCUCUAUUUGGUAGUUCAUACUUGUGGCUUUUAUCAUUUUUAUUCUAACUUGGUUGGAAUUUUUGGGUGAACUUUAGGAAUUCACAUAAUCCUUGAAGGAGGGACGUGGAGACCAAAGCAAUGAUAGACAAUUAUGUGUGUACUUUGCUAAAUUUUCACUAUCUUAGAAAUAAGGGCGAUUGUGAACUUAAUUAUAACCUAGGUAUUAUCCUAGAAAUAGGGAUGUGUAAAUUGAGAUUUCAUUACAAAAUACUAAGCACGCCCUUUAGGCAUUCGGAAGAAUCAAUGGGUGAAAGGUUGGUAUUUUAUUGAAAGACUACCAUCAAAAUCUUUAACAAAACCUACCCAUAUUUGAUGUACUAAACUGAUGUUGGUUACUAACACCUACAUGCCAUUCCCUUAGUAAAACAUAAUCCCAAGAUUUGUUCAUAAUUGUAAAAACUCUAAGUAUUCAUAGCCUCGAAUUUAUCUGGAAAAACCCAAAAAGAAACCUUCGUGUAAGAUACCUACCUCCC
Molecule: long non-coding RNA, 2609 nt
Filed under: Capsicum annuum
Lineage: Eukaryota; Viridiplantae; Streptophyta; Magnoliopsida; Solanales; Solanaceae
Description: long non-coding RNA (CANN_LNC014029)
Source: RNAcentral